AUUGAACGCUGGCGGCAGGCCUAACACAUGCAAGUCGAGCGGAUGAAGGGAGCUUGCUCCUGGAUUCAGCGGCGGACGGGUGAGUAAUGCCUAGGAAUCUGCCUGGUAGUGGGGGAUAACGUCCGGAAACGGGCGCUAAUACCGCAUACGUCCUGAGGGAGAAAGUGGGGGAUCUUCGGACCUCACGCUAUCAGAUGAGCCUAGGUCGGAUUAGCUGGUUGGUGGGGUAAAGGCCUACCAAGGCGACGAUCCGUAACUGGUCUGAGAGGAUGAUCAGUCACACUGGAACUGAGACACGGUCCAGACUCCUACGGGAGGCAGCAGUGGGGAAUAUUGGACAAUGGGCGAAAGCCUGAUCCAGCCAUGCCGCGUGUGUGAAGAAGGUCUUCGGAUUGUAAAGCACUUUAAGUUGGGAGGAAGGGCAGUAGUUAAUACCUUGCUGUUUUGACGUUACCAACAGAAUAAGCACCGGCUAACUUCGUG
This 483-nucleotide ribosomal RNA is filed under the name uncultured bacterium. Its description in RNAcentral is "partial 16S ribosomal RNA". It matches the Rfam family "Bacterial small subunit ribosomal RNA", at positions 30 to 507 of the family's 1533-position model. The record is from RNAcentral.